Molecule: RNA transcript, 16216 nt
Organism: Corapipo altera (White-ruffed manakin)
Lineage: Eukaryota; Metazoa; Chordata; Aves; Passeriformes; Pipridae
Gene: CTCFL
Gene name: CCCTC-binding factor like
Exons: 18
Source: RefSeq, a predicted model, not a curated record
ACUGUGUUACUUCCACAGGCAAGAAAUGCCAUCAGUGGGUUUGGGGCUUUGACUAGUGUUCAGUAAUUCAGUUUAACAGGAUCUGGACCACACUGGGCUGCAGUCCCUUUGUAAUGUACUACAAUGUGUGCACCUGCAACACACUGAGCUAAUAUUUAGAGAUAAAGCUCCAAAUCUGUCCUUUGCACUAUAAUAGAAUAUUCAUAGUAAGUGGGCCUUAUAAAACACUUGAUGGUUGGAAAUCACUAGUCUUGAAGGGUAUGCAAGAUUCAACGUUAAGUCUCUCAAAUCGCACAAGUUUACCUCAAAGACAUUUUUGGAGAACUCUUUUGAACUUGCUCUCAUUGAAUACCCAAUCCUGGCCUAAAGUACAGUGUAAUGAUGCUUAUAUAUCGCUCCACUGGCUCUGCAAGCCCACUUGAGCCAGUUUUGUACAACACUUCAGCUCCCGGGUGGGAGCUGCCGCCACAGCAGCGUCAGGCAGCCCUUCAGCACCACUCAGCUCCACGGCACCCGGCUGAAGGGUUUCCGUCAGGGAAACAUGGGAAGUACUCCAGAGAUUUUGCAAGUGGGGAAACCAGCUGAGCUCAGCCCCGUGGUCUCCAGCCAAGUGGGAGCAGGAGGUUAAGGGCCUGCAAUUAAGACGGAGAGAUGUUCAUUUAGAGCUUGAGGGUGGCAAAAUGGCAGCUGCUCCUAUAGGCCCUGCUGUGCUCUCACUAUGAGGGGACGGGCUCUUUGCUGACCCCUGGGCACCCCAUGCACAGACGGGCAAAGCUCUGCCUGUUCACCCACUUUAGGGCUUUGUGCCUCGUGGGGAAUUAGAGGUUCGCUCAGCACCGUGCGAGGCCUUAGGGCUGCGGGGAAACCACGGACGGCAGCACAGAAGAGCGUGGUGGGGCCGGGCAGAGCCGAGCGAAGGAGCGCAGCGGUGGCAGUGACCCGAGUGCGGGCGGGGGCUCCUGUCCCCCAGAGCGGUGCCUGUCUCCUCAGGAGGGUGAAAAACACGGGCCCUGCUCACGGAGUGUGUGAGGGCAGAGGAGGAGGAGGAGGAGGGAGCCCGGCAGGCCCCUGCCCAUGGCAGCGCUGGCCGGGGCAGUGGUGCUGCCGGGGCAGGGGCAGGGACAGGCCGUGGUGCACAGCGUGUCCCAGGGCAUGACUCUCACCCUGCAGGAAGGGAUCUGCGUGUUCUAUGACCUAGAGCUGGCACAGGUUCAUGUUCUGCAAGAAGAAGGGCAAGAAAAGAGUUCAGAAAGCAAGGCAACUGAGAAACCAGUAGACAUGCUCCGGAUGGAGAUUGACAGAGAUAAUGAUGCCAUUGCCUUUGAAAAUAAGAUCCAGCAGCUGAGCCCAUCUGAAGAGGGGGAAGGAAAGAAACCUUUUUCCACAGUUGGGGAAAAAAGGAGCCAAAGCUGCAAAGCGAGUGAAAAUUUGUCAGAGUUGUGUAAUGAAAGUAAAGAGCAGGAAUAUGCAACUGCAUCAGAACAAAUGGUUGUAAAAAAUUCCAAGAAUCUAAAAUUUCAGGCUUGUGCACCACGUCAGAAAAAAGGAGAAAAAGAAGGUUUCAACUGCUGUUUCUGUUCGUUCACCUCAGCCAGAUUGUCAAAUCUGAAGCGUCACUUGAAAACCCAUUCUGAUGAGAAACGUUACCUGUGUCACCUCUGCCCGAAGGCUUUUCGUACAGCAACUCUCCUGCACAACCAUGUGAACACGCAUACAGGGACCAAACCCUAUAAAUGCAGUGACUGUGAUACAGCAUUUGUGACCAGGGGUGAGCUUUCACGACACAGGCGGUACAAACACACCUUAGAAAAACCUUUCAAGUGCACAAUAUGUGAAUACUCCAGUGUAGAAGCCAGCAAAAUGAGACGACACAUUCGUUCCCACACAGGAGAGCGUCCCUACCCCUGUGACCUUUGCAGUUAUGCCAGCAAAGAUGCCUACAAACUGAAAAGGCACAUGUUAACUCAUACAGGAGAAAAACGCUAUGAAUGUUGUGUUUGCCGGGCCAGAUUCACUCAGAGCGGUACCAUGAAAAUCCACAUGUUACAGAAGCACGGAGAAAAUGUCCCCAAACACCAGUGUCCACAUUGCAGUACCCUUAUUUCCCGAAAAAGUGAUUUGGGUGUCCACUUGCGAAAUCUUCACUCCUACGUGGAGGAGGCCAUGAGGUGCAGUGCCUGUGAGGCCGUUUUUCACGAACGCUACGCUUUUCUUCAGCACAAGAAGACUCACAGAGGAGGAAAAGGAUUCAAAUGUGCUCAGUGCAGCUGCACGUGUAAUCAGAAAAAUAUGCGUAAGCAUGCUGAAAAUUGUGGAUUGGGGAGGGCAGAAACUGCUGCACCCAGAAAAAGAAGCAAGGAGAAAAACAAAAUCCAUGAGAACCCCAAGCGUGUUAAGUCAGAAGUGCCCAAGGAAUGCAGGAGCGUGUGGAGGGGCUGCUGGCUCCAUCCUGCCAGGAGAACAGCCCAGGAGGGACCUGCUGUUCCUGCCGGGCUCCCCUCGCCUGGCAGAUGCAGGCUGGCUGCAGGAGGUCACUGUGGGCAGCCAGGCUGCCCUAAUGUGGGGUUUUCUCCUUCUCAGGAGCAGCUGAUUGAGUCGAAACAAUACUCUGCUUUCCCCAUUUGAUGAUGAAGACUGACAGUUUGUGGGAGAUGAGUCAAAGGUCACUGAUGAGAAGAUCCAUCCAGAUAAUUGCUGUAAUUGCACCCUGAGGAUGCAGCUCCCGUCACAAAGCAUCAGGCAGUGACUCUGUUGCAGAGGUCCAAGGGAUUGGAAGCAAAAUAUUUGUUUUUGAAAGAAGUUACAGUGUUCGUUUUCUGUCAAAACUCCAUAAAGGAUUGUGAUUCCUCAGCCAUUAGUGAGGAGAAAUCUUGACAAAAAAACCAACUUAGAAUGUGUUUCAUCUUUUGGAUGAGGAUUACUCUCUGACACUUGACUUUUCUAACUGUAAGCAGGUUUAGAAGCAAAACAGAAUGCUGGAAGAAUGAAGUGUGAUGAAAGCGACAGCAUCACAAGUCUGGAAGGUGAUGCUGUUUUCUGGAUAGCUCUGCUGAGAGGAGAUGUUCAGAUUAAAGUGCAAGAUGGGGAUGAUGAAGAUUCUGUGACAGCAGUCAGUGGACAAGGAUGAGGGUCCUCUUGAAACUCUUCCUUUGGAGGUCCCUGUAAGUUAUCUCAGAGGUCAGUGAGACCCAUUUGCUCACGUUUCUCUGCCAUAUCAGUAACUUGCAGUAACAUCCCAAAUGUGAAAAGUGUUUUUAAUUGGUCUUCUGUAAAAGAAAUUGAUCUUGGGGAGGCUAAUAAGCAGUCUUUAUAUAUCCCUUACUUCUUCUGCCCAGAAUGAAGUUUACCAUUAAAAUUCCCUAAAAGGUUGCUGUUUUAGGAUUGCAUAAAAAGUACAGAGCUGAGCAGGGAUUGAAAGAUCAAUCCUACAAACUGUUGAAAUGCAAGUGAUUCUACUUAUGAGAGCUUCAGUGGGAAAAAUUCCCACCGUGAUUUGACUGUGGUCUGAUUCUCAUUUGCACUGACUCUCCUAUAUCCUGCUAGAAAUGGGUAGGAUUCAAUCUUGAGGGAGGAUGACCAUAUAAGAAAUUGUUUUUGAGUAUGUGGAAACAAGACAGACUCCAUUAAGGCAUUUUCUUACCUUCAUCUAAAUCUGAAAAUAAUCAUAAAUUGGUAAUGGUACCUUAAUUACCUUGAACAAUUAUUCAUAUAUCUUGUGUGUGUCUGUAUUUGUUUGGGGAAGCAGCCUUGUGAAAAUGAAGUUAAUUCAGUGUCUCAGAUGAAGAAGGAUAUUUGUUAGAAAUUGUUGUCAUAAUAGUUACACAAAAGGAUUCAAAUAUUCUCUAGCUUAGUAUGAAUAAAAUAUUAAAAGAUACAGGUGUUGUUCAUGAACCAUCAAAGAGUUUUCCACUGCCACUGUGUUUUAUUAAAAUGAAAAGAAGAAGAGAAAAGAAAAAAAGCCCUGUGCUAAUCCUUUCCUUUGUUGCUUAAGGGACGUUUCAGUAUAAAGUAGCAAUUUCCAUAUCAUUUGAAUAGCAGUUGCAACCCAUUGAUGUUUAAAGUAAAAUGUGCAACUACUGUAAUCAGCAAAACAGAUGCAAAUGUGUUGUCUGCCUCCCAAGUGUAGCUCCCUGCUUGCUGUCUCCGUUAGAUUUAGAGUGCAAAACAUGAUCAGAUAAUGAAAAACAUGGAAGCUAUUCUUUUAUCUCUUUCAUAGCAGUAGUUUGUUCAAAAGCAAGUUGGCUGGAUGCAGCACUGAGUGAGAGUCCUGCAGCAGCAGCCCCAGCCCCUGCUCCGGAGCUACAGGAGAUGCCUUGGUGCUUUGGAGGUGGAAAAGGGACCCACCACCCUCUUCAUUAACCCUGCCCCUGCCCCUGGGGACAGGAAUGGCCUUUUGGCUCUGUUUAAGCCCAGUGGCAUCCCAGUGCAAGUCUCUGCACAUUUUUAUUACACAGCAUGUGGGCCUCAGGAGCCACACACAGGAGCCCAGACAGAAUUACUUGUAACCUUAGUGGACGAGAGGCAAUUACUCCUGAACUCCUGGGAAAACUUCUGUCCAGAGCCAAAUAUUGUUGCUUGGAUUGUUUGCUAUUCCAGGAUGACUCUUAGGCUCAGUACAACGUCAUCAUAACUUCAUGCAGAUAUUUGUUGUUCAGGACAAGUUUUGAAACUCAUGCUCUAAUCUCGAAAUAGUAAAAUGCUGCCGGGUUAAGUGGUGGAGUUCACUGGAAAAUCUGCCCACUUCAGUGGGAAAGAUUUUUUUAAUACAUUAAAAACAAAACAGAUUUGGAAAGGUCAUUUUAAAUAUUAAGAACUGUGGCUGAAGGGCAGGGCUGUGUGCUGCAGAAGUUUUGGCAUUCAGGAUUUCGUGUAGGUGCUCUGUAAAUGACCUCUCUUGUACAAGCCCACAAGGACAGGUGGGGCUGUUAAAAGGAAUAAUUAAAUUCUUAUAUUUAAUUAUCUUUCUUGUCCAGUUGUGCACUGAGAUGCCCCCACUAAUUGCACUGAUUCUGACUUCAGCAAGAGCUGCACCAGCCCUGAAUAUUUAUAAGGAGAGUUAAAUAAAAUCUCAGAUCAAAUUCUUAGAGAUACAUGUAAGAACUUUGUGAGUCUUUUUUAUUUUGAGGGCUUGUAACUAAAGGAGAUGUUCAGUGUGUUCCUUAGUGGGUGCCAAAAAGCUUAUUUUCAGAAGUGUCUGAAUCUCAGGGUAAGUCAAUGACUGCUAUAUUUAAUCUGAAGUCUAUGUAACUGCUGCUGAAAUCAAGCUGUGUGCUUUUUGUAAUAAUGAUAUGAAAAAAUAGAGCAUUUAUAUGAAAAGUCAGGAACCAUGCAUGUAACUUAUAUGCCAGGGUAAUGUAGAUUUCAAAAAAACCGUUCAACAACAUGUCUGAAGUUGUGCUGCAAAUAUUAUCGUAAGGAAAGUAGAAAUUAAGAAAAUAUUUGUGAACUCUUUGCAGUAUUUGGUAAAUAGUUUCCAGAAAAACUGACAUCUGAAGUUUGUACACAGGCCUUGUUCUGUUGGUAACUACAGCCAGUGGGAGUUUUUGCCAGGGUCUCUACUGAAACAGGAUCCAAUUCUUUUUUUUUUUUUCUUCUUAUGUGGAGAUAUAAAUCUUAGACCUUAAUUACACUUAAGAAGGAAAAUACUUUGUCUUUUUAUGUAAAAAAAAAAAGUCAUCUAACUAUUAAAAAGCAUUAAAAAAUACUUGAGGAAAGGCUUCCUUAAAUCAAACAAAUCUCUCAUUUUGCUUUUAGGCCUUCCUGGAGGGUGCUGUGUUUAUAUUAUUUACUUUAAGUGUGAGAACUUUGUGUCAGAUCAAACCAUUAGCAACUCUCUGGGCAGCAAAUGGCAAAACACAGCUCGGGGCCCCUCUGGAGAAAUGCAGUUUCCACACUUUCACAUUUCACCUCAGGAUGCAAGUGUCAGUGUUGCAGGGCUGUGUCCUUCUGUGAGUGCUUUGGGAUACUGUGUGCAGAGAGCACAGUGCUGUGGCCCAGCCCUGGCUGGAGGGGCACAGCAUCACUGGCUUUGUUCCAGGUGACCACUGGUGCAUCCUGACCAUCAGACCCCUCAGACUUGAGGUUCAGUCAUAUUUCCCUGAAGAAAUGACAUGUUUUGGUAGAAGAAGUAACCAUGAGGCAGGAGUUGAAAGCUGAAGCUGUGAAACACAAGCUUGGCCCAGCCUGAUGUCAGGGGACAACCUCUGAUGUUUGCAAUGACAUAUAAGCCAUCACUGCUGUUCCUUUGCCUUGCAAUAGCACCAUGACACAAACCCUGCUGGACCAGGCACUGCACCAGUGCAGAGCAAAAAGCUGUCCCUACCCCAAAGAGGACUCAGACUCACAAGGUAAUUACUUAUCUUUGUCCAUUAAUUUUCCUUUUUUUUUUUCUUAAGUACCCAGAUAAUAUUUUUUUCUCUCCCAGACUCAAAGUACAGUGACAAAUAAAUGAUUUCAAGUAUCCUCCUGAGAUAGGGAGAACUGAGAUAGAUGUUGCCAGCAGGCACUGAUCCACCUGUGGUGAUGGAAGGUUGAGGGAUUCAUGAGGGAAUGACAGAUCUGGAAAGCUGCAGCAUGGCUUUUUUUAAAAUGACACAACCAAAGAUAUUCUAGAGAUUAUCCUCCAAAAACUCGGUGAUCAAGGGCUUAAUGACUUAAAUAGCGGUCAAAUGUCUGCUUGUUAUCAAUCACCUAUUGCCAGUUGAACUGCAUUAAUGAGGGUUUCUUGAUAAAAGCUGCCUUAUCAUCCGGAACUGAGAUACCCAGCAUAAUGUGCUCCAGCAAGGCUUGAGGAAAUGCUCCUCUUAGCAGCAAAGCAGACGAUGUGUCGCUUUCCUGAAUUAGUCUGAGUCAAAUGGAUGGUCAGACCCUCCAGAAAGAAGCAAUUUCUUUCACCUCUUGUAUUAAAGGAGUGCUUUAUCCAUGUGUCAGAAAGCAUUCUGGCUGUCUUGCAAGAGUUUAGAGUCCAACCAAACACACCUUGCUGGCCAUUUGCAGUGGUCAGGGUUGAAGGUCACAGGGCAGGGUCACUGCACCCUGAGGGGAUGGCACAGGGUUUCACUGUGCAUUGUACAUCCCCCCGCCAUAACCACUUACCUCCUUGGAGAAAAUGGGUUGGAAAUGGUAUUUAACAUUGUUGAUGACAAUUUUUCCAGAUUUAUUACCUGUUUUUUGUUCACUGUUUGGCUGCCUGCUCCCUUUCCAUCUGCCAGCCCUGUAAUCCACCUCCUCUUAUCUCAGCACAGUUCGCUCCACCUCUUGCUCAUUUUUGUUUUAUUGCCCAGCUAAUCUCAUUCUCCUGCUUUUCCUGACACUGCUCCCCCCUCCCCAUCUGUGGAGAUUAAAUCACUUCUCCUUUUGUUUGAUGCCGCUCAACAUUCCCCCAUUUCACUCAGGUUUUGGGAUACUUCCAGGCACUUUUGCUGUUGUUGCACACAUCCAUUUUCCUGGCACAAAAAGGCCCAUCAGCAUCUGAUGGAAGCGUUACUGAGUCCUCAUUUCAACCAGUUCUCAGAGAUGUCCUGAAUGUGAAAUGAAGCUGAGCUCAGCCUGCACAGUGUAGCAGAGGCAGGUGUGUGUGUCAGGAAUUUCAGGAGCAUCCACAGGGUGCUCAGGGCAGCUCUAGAGUGGUGACAGAGCCUGGCAACUGAAUAUUACUCAAGAAAACUGGAGAUCAAAGGCAUGGGGUAAAAAAUCUCCAAGCUACCAAAAUGUGAAGUUUUGGAAGUGGUUUUCAAUAUUGUUGGUAAUGUAUCAGUGUAGUCAGCCAUCAUCCCUAUUUACAUCUAGUGGCUUGUCAGUGUUCAUGGCCCCAACAGUGUCAUUCCAGUUACUGCUGAGAGUUGCUGGGGGUUUUAGGCUCAAGGUUGAAGCCAGUCUCCCUGUUCAAGGGUGUUAAGUGCAUCCUGGUUUGGGCACAACUGCAGCUUUGGGGGGGACACGGUGGAUUUUCAUGCCAUGUGUUUCUGGCACCCUUCCACCUUCCUGCACAGAGAACAGUGCUGGACACUCCUCUACCAGUAUUUCCUCCACCUGUGUGACUGUGCAAGUCCACUGACUGCACUGCUGCUUGUGUUGGCUCAGAACUGGAACCAGCAGAGCCUUUAACCCCCUGGCAAACCCUGGACAAUUUCAAAAUGCCUUGCAGGGACCACAUGCACUGACAGGACUCCUCACAGCUGUCAAUCGCUGUUCCUCCUCACUGUGAGCACCCCAGUGUGUUUGCUGCCAGAACAAACCCUAAAGUCUUCAAAUAACCCCCCUUUCAGUACAUGGGAGAUGCUUCCCUUAGCAAGGACAGUUGCUGUUUGGCCCUAAUCAUUGAGUUUAAGAUUUUUUUUUUAUUCUGUUUGGGUUGUAUCUCUUGCCUUAAUCUCCUCUUGCAAUGCUAACCAUGAUGCAUUUGCUAUAUGUCCCCUCACUACUUUUAUCUACCAACAUGUUUUAAAUAGGUUUAAAGAGUACAGGAGCUAAAAAAAAAAAAAAAUCAGGCAGCUUCAGAUGAAAGCCAGCAGCAGGCCUUUAAAAAUAGAGUGGCAGCCCUGCACGAGGUGCCGAGUAAGUGGGUGCACGGGAGGGGAGUGGAGCGGCUGCAGAGGCUCUGUUUAAACAGGAGGUAAAUAAGUGGCUGGGGGAGCUGCAGUUCAUCUUGUUCCCUUACGUGUUGCCCAGAUAAUGCAACAUAUCUUCAGGCAGGCUGGUUCUAAAAAUGGACACAGCUCUUGGGUUUCACUGGGUGACGCUCGGGCUGCGCUGUCCUACAGUCCGUGGGAGCAGUGAAAUGGCAUUUAGUGUUUCAAAAGCAGCAGCAGUGCUCAGGUCUUGUCACUGGUACUUUAUGAAGACUUCUAUAAUGAAGAAUGUGUGACUUUAUACCAUGGUGCCUAAUGCAGAAGCAGCUGCCUGUAAAUCCCUGGGGUCAGGCAAUGUUUUGUUAAAAUUCCCCUUCCUGCUGUGGUUGACCUGUGAAAACAGCAAUCAUCUGACAGUGACAGCAGCACUUACUUAGUAAUUCAGGAUUAAAGUGUUCUGUCCAAUGAGUAAUUUCACAGAAGCAGAGUUUAGAAUUGGAGCUGGUUUAAUAUAACAAAACUAUUGUCAUGAAAGCCUCCUUGGCAUUUUAAUGGUGUUUUUCUUUGGUCUAAAUAUACAUGAGAAGUUGAGAGGAUGUUUAAAUCUGAGCAGGGGAUAAAAGGGACCAAGAGAAAGACUUAAAGGUCUUGUCCAAACUCCGCACAAUUGUGUGAGCCACUGGCUUCCCUAGGACAGGGCAUCAUCCCAGGGAGCUGCACAAUUCACCAUUCCUCUCACUGCUCCAGGGGUGUUAGUGUCAUUAUCUUCCUUCUCACCCUCCUCUCUCCUGCCUAGUUGAGCACAGCUCAGCUGUGCAGAGGAUGAAUAUUUGUUAACCUCCAGUGGCUGCAGUAAUGGUCAACUGGCCCUUCUGUGCUCCCAAAGAGACUGUGUUUGGGUUGGGCACAUGCUGCUCACUGGCAUGGAGAAUUCUCCAUUUCUUUCCAAAUGAGUCUUCUCAGGCUGUCCCUGUUCAGCAAAUUCAGGAGAGAAAGGGCAGCAGGGCCCCUUGACCAAACCAUGGCAAGCAUGUUCUGUAGAAGGCAGCAGAGAGUGCAGCCUUCCCUGUGGGAAUGAAGUGGUCCUCUGUUGAGUGAAGUGUUGCCUACAAGGUUAAUUAGCUGUAGAAAAUGAGCUCGAAUACUUAGGAGUAAUGAAUCAUAAUGAAUCGUUAUGUUUGAGGAGUGACAAAUUAAAUUCAUGCAUAUUUUGGACUACUUGUUUUAGUCAGAAUGGAAAAUAGUGCUAUGCUUUUUUCUGUUGUUCUGCCUUCAUGUUGAGAUGUCAGGAAGCAAAUCGAUAUGGCCAGAGUUUGUAAAGUCUGGCAGUGCUUGAUUGCACAAUGUUUAAUCUCUCUCCUGAGUCUCUGAGCUGGGCUAGGAGCAGGGGCUUCUCUGGAAUCAAUACAUUUGCCUCCACCUUCAGUAGAUGGUAUUUUGACCUGAAAAAACACAAAACUUCUCCUAAGCUAAAAGAGAAAAAAAAAAAGUUGUGUUGUCCUAAUCCUGUGAGUGGUAGUGUCUUAUGGCAGCUCUGAUUGAGGUGUAGCACCCUCAUCUAGGAAAGCAGAUUGAAUUACAGCCCCACCUCCCAGACCAAGGUGAGUCAAGGGACCUAUUUGUAGCAAGAUUCAUCAGAUCCUUCGGCUCCUGCUGUUCCCAGAAGAAUCUCUGGAGUUUUUCUGUGGAAUUAGAUCCAGCAACAUAACAAGCUAAGGGGCAGACAGGCAUUGUAACCCUUGAAAUACCUGGAAAGUAAGGAUAAGCAAGCUACUCCUACCUGGAAGAUAACUUCUGGAAUCUCAAUGUAAGAUGAAGGACACUGUGAAAAAGAGGAUCUUGAUAAGAAGAAUUUGUUCUUAGCCCCCUUCAAGAAUCGUAACAUAUCCCUGGGUGAGCUGAAGCCUGACACAAGCUGCUGUCCUUUGGGGUUUUUUUUGAUUUGGUCCCAAGGUUCAGCUGGUUCAAGGCUGGAGGAGCUGUGAGCAGGGGGAGGAUUUGAAUUCACAGCCUCUCUUUUAAAUAGAUCGGUGGUUCCAGGAGGGCAAGUGAUACUGCUGCAGUGAUUAAGUUCUUUGCUGGAUUGAUGCCUCUGGAAGUGUUUGGAGAGAUUUGACAGAUCUUCCAGUCUGUUGAAGGUUCCCAUGGUGUUGGCCCAGCCAUGACUGUGUGAGGCAAACUGUUUGUGCCACCCCUGGGAGAAAGCAUCUUUCUCACUCAGAACAAAGAGCUCUUGGGCGUUCAAAGACAAAAGGUACCAACUGACAUUUAGUUCUGCUACUAAUUAUAUGUCAAAACUAAUACAAGUUAAGACUAAAUUAGUACACUUCUCCAGAUGUUUUCACAGUUGCCCUGCCUGCAGCACUGUGGGUUAUGUUCUGAGCUGUUAGCUACUCAAACUAGUCCUUCUCAUCUCCACUGAUGUCGUUGCUCCUGGCAUGAUCAGGUGCAAACUCCCACUUAUUAAGUGCUAUGAAGGAAUCAUUCUGACACAAAGUGGAAAAUCCUCCUUGGGGUUCAGAGCUCUUGCAAGAGGCAGCCAGUGAGGUGGCUGCUUAUAGAGCUGACCCCAUGCUUCAAGUUGUGGAUUCAUGUACAAUAUCUGUGAAAGCAGCUAUCCUUGCUCUUGCCAAACUCCUCAGAAGACCCAUAAAAUGAUGUUAGUUGUAAGCCACAAGCUGGCUCUUAUCUUUGAAUUGUUUUUCUCUGACAACUUUAAGAAGAGCUCAGCAUGUUCUCAGUAGGAGCUGAUGGAUGCUGAGCACUUCUGAAAUCCUGCCAACUUCAUUUAGGUUCCUAAAUGGGAACUGAGUGCUUUUGAACAUAUGAUCCUAAGGGUGCAUUUCAUAACACUAUAGCUCUGUCCAUAUCAUUUCUUUCCUCUCUCACUGUCCCCAGAAUGCUCCCAGCAGCAGCAAUAACACCAGGAGCACUGGGCUAGUCAAGGCCUGAGUGAUGCCUCAGUUAUGAUGUCAGCUCAAGGCACACUGAACUGAAUUAAAUGACAGCAGUUAAAAGGUGCCUGUCUGCAUCCAGUCUGCAGUAAGGUCACCAUCAUCACUACCAGCAUUAUGGGUAUAUUUGAGAUAGCUGUGGUAGAUUUUAUAUGUAUGUAUAUAUAUGAAAAUAAAAAUGUAGUGCAAAUUCUGCCUUGUUUUUCAGAGUAUUUCAUCCCAUGUUUCAGGCCAUGUGCACUCUACUCGACAAUGCUCUGACUCUCAAUUUCAGGAUUCAAAUUUUCUCCUAGGUAGGUUUGUGGGGCAGAUAUAAUGAAUAUUUUUUAGUGUUUGUGGAGCAGGGUAGGAGGGCAGAUGAGCCUUUAUCUGAAGCUUUUCCAACAGACUUAGUGCAUGGACAGCAUCUGUUUUGGUCUUGUGAGGCUGACAUCCUCUCCCAGCAGACUUGGCAGUGAGCAGAAGAGCCACAUGUCAAAAAAUCUGGGGGGCCCAUGCGCUGUGGACAAAAGUAUGGCAAAGAAUUUAAACAUCGGUGAGUGGAGUGAUGCUGGAGGGCUGGCUGAAAGCGAUUAGCACAGUGCUCUGGAAUGUGGCAUUUCAAUAGCCGCUCCAGAAGGAUCUGCAGCCCCAUUGACUUCUGCAGCGUCAGGAAAGAGCCCUCACACUCCAGCUUUUGCCAGUGUGAAUGGGAACGUGCAGGGCUGUGUGUGCAGCAAUCACAGAGCUCUCUGCUCUGGCUCUGCACACCCUGCCCUGUGUCCUGCUGAUGGGGGGGUUUCCUUUGCUCCACGGGAAUCCCAUACCCCAGUGACUCAGGUGGCUCUGGGUCCUCGUGCGUUGCCAGAACCCCCCCUUUCAAAUCUGCAUCAAUAUCAGCUGUAGCUUUGCUGUUUGCCUACCCUGGGCCAAAGCACCAAAGGCCACCUGUGGCCAUGAUCCAGCUGUUGUCAGCUGUGCAGUCGGGUGGUGGGUGGUGUGGGGUUUGGGUGUUUUGUUGCCACGUGUGUCAGUGUGGGGCUUGGGUGUUUUGUUUCCACUGCUGCUGGGUUUUGGCCUCUUUGGGAAUGCACCAAGUGGGACUAAGAAUGUGUCUUUGUUCACAUUCACUUGUUUAAUUUUUUUUUUUACAUUUUCCUUCCCCCCCCCCCCCCCCACUUCUGACUUCUAGGUAGAUAAUCAAAGUGUGAAAUAAAUUAAAAAUAAAGCUGGGUAGAAGGCCUGACUGAUGAGAGCACAUAGAUUUUUAGUUGAGGUGAGAGAAGAACAUGCUCAUUCAAGCCCUCAUGGAGGGCAGGGAAUUCCCUGGCUUUUGUCUAAAUAUGGCAUGAGAGAGUGGAGCACAGGCAGUGCAAUGCUUCACUGAGUAUUGUUUAAAAGGGAGCUUGGCAGUGGCCAGCAAGUAGGAUUCUUGUGAAAACAUGGCACAAGGAGUUGUUUGACAGAUUCUGACAUAGCAAAGUCUUUACAAGGGGAAAAAAAAAAAACAAAGAAGGAAAAGAGAGAAACUGCAGACUACAUGAAGCCAAAAGCAUAGUCUCUGCCUAGAAGAUUGCAGAAUAAAAGGCACUUAGCACUGAGUCACACCCUGCAAGCUCUGUGGGUCUGAUCCUCUCAGUGAUCGAUUGCACUGAGUUAAAACCCCCUCCUAAAUGAUUGCCUGUUGUCAGUCAUCCAGAAGAGGGGAUGAAGAGGAGUGAGAGCUGGGGAGGAGACUGCCAUGGCUUGCACCCACUCACCAGAGUCUCUAUCUCAGACUUGCCUGGUUGGAUGGACCCAUUCUCUACCAUCUCAUGUUUCCCCCUGCGGGUAAAUGACGUUUCACUAGCAGGUUUUUGGAUGCAGCACUCAGUCCCAAGCAAUCCCGUGGUUUGUGUAGGUGUUUCCCUUUUGCAAAGCUUAUGCUGAUUUGUGGCUUUGAAUAUCUAUUGCAGCAGUGAGCAAUGAUUCCUGCCUGGAAGAAAACCCCUCUCCCACUGCCUCUGCCAUGUCUGGAGACACUGUGAGUCCCUCAGAGCAAAAAGGCCUUUACUCAUCUCAGCAAUGGAGAGUUUUGCCUCCAAAAUUCCAAGUCUGCUCUUGAAAUAUGGCCAUUAUGUGAGUAUGUUUGAGGGAGGGAAAACUUAUCUGGGAUUCAGUGCACUUCUGGAGGUCUUGGAUGGAGACACCUCACUCGGUGACUCUGCUACUGACACCAGCUACUGAACAGACUGUGUAGCUCAUACAGAGGAGGUCUUGGCUCAGGCUUCCCCAUUUAAAGUGGAGCCCUUACCUAAAUUCACCUUGAAUGCAACAUUCAUGCUCAAUCACAGCUGGAGCUUCCUCACAUCGAAGAUAAGACAGUCUUCCUCUGGUUGGUGGUUUGGAUGGUGUCCUGCAAUGUAAACUAGAAUGAUAGGAGUAGUCUGUAAUUAGCACAUAACCUCAGGCAGUUUUGUUCCUGAAAUGCAAGGCCUAAGUUGUUCUGCUGCGAUAGUGUUGGUUUAGUGAGUCCAUUAACUGCUCUGCAUCAUAUCAGUGAAAGCUGUUCCCUAAGAGCUGCAAAGGUAUGGAAUAGGAACCAGAAGUCUCUGAUCCAGUCCUGCAGGCAUAUUCCAGUGAAACCAAAGGGAAGUCCAUCAUAUGUGUUGCCCAUCAGAUGCACUCCAUGGCAAAGCAACGAAGCCCAAGAGUUUCUGGAUCAUCUUAGCAAAGCUCAGGGGAGAGCAAAGGCGCGGGAGCACUCCCCUACCCUUUUUGAACCUUUCAGUUGAUGUUGUUAAUUGUAGUGGAGCUGCUGCAAAUAUUUUGGAAAGCAAAUAUUUGAUGUCCUCAUCCAGCGGAAAAUAAGUCGAAGGACCAACCUGCUGCCACUCACUUGGUCAUUGCAACAAAACCGGGGCUGAGAAUCAAUAGCAACAACGCUGAGCUUUUGUGGUCACCUCCUCUCCAAACAAGGGCUGUGAUGUGAGAGCAAACAACACCUGCUUGGAGGAACUGGGCACGGGCUGAAAGGGAGCUGGUGGGCAGAGGCUGUUUGUGCAGCACUGGGCUCUGGGGUGGGGCUGCUGGCAGAGGCAGGAGGAAGAUGAUAUCUCCAUCAGCCCGUGCUAAUGCGAGAGGCAGAAAUGGGUGAGCUCCUGCCUUCCCUGUGCCCCGACUGGUGAGUGAUGGACAGUGACUCCUCCGUGCCUACCAGGAGGAAAGCCCUGGAGUGGGACUGCCCUCCAGGCAGUCCUGCUCUUGGCUGGGGUCUGGGUCACAUCAGAGGACAAAUCGAAGGCUUGUCACAAGCAGAAAAUUGGGCAGCUCCUUGUGUGGCGGAGGCAGCAGAUCAGUCACCACUCACAUCUCUGCCCAAGUAUGAAUUCUCUAAGGAAGACCAAUAUCACUUUGCCCUAACUGGAAAGCAGGGGAGAUGGCACAUACUUCCCAUGCUCUGGCUGGGCCCAAAUACCCAAUGUGCAAGUGAUCUGCUUUUGGGUGCUGCUUUUUUUCUAAAUCCUAUUUUUUUUGUUGUUUUUAGCCUUCUAAAAACAAACUUCGGAUUCAUCAGUGAUCUCAUCACAUUACAGAUUCUCUUUCCUGGGAAACUGAACUUCUGGUAUAAUCAUGGGAAAGUCUCACCUUCCCUUUUUUAUUUUCUUUUAACUGAGUUUCUAUUGAAAUCAGCUUGGCAGACCAACACCUCAGAACGAAAGACACAAAAGAAAACCCUUUGUUACUACUAUUUCUUUUUAAUCUCUUGAUUUUCUUACCAAUCUAGUGAUUUUGGAGAUAGCAAGUGAUAUUUGGAUAUUUAAAGACACAUAUUCAAAUCUGUAGAGUAGGCAGGCCCCUUAAUAAUACAUUUUACCAAUGGUCUGUUUAUCCCAUCGCUGGCAAAAAAAUAGAGGCAAAACCCAAUAAUUAAUUACUGCUCUGUCUUUUGUACUGUUCUUUGAACUGCAACAUUUUUGUUCACUCCUACCCUUUUUCUAGCUCUUACAAAUGCUCUGCACAACUGGAAGGUGGCUCAGCAAAGCCAGUGCAGUAUCUCUGUAGCCAAGCAAGGACAGACUUGGCUCCUCUUCAAAGGGAGCUUUUAUCGGGUGUUUAGCGUGAUGUGACAAAGCAGGGAAGUGUGCCAUGGAUGCAAUGCUUCCAAAUCCCCACCUUCUACCUUGAUUGAACUUGAGAACAAUUAUCCCUUGCCAGGGUGAUGAGCCCUGCCGAUGUGCAUCUUGUUUACAGCCGUGCUCAGUUUUUAACAUAUUUUCCUGUUUUGGACUAGGACAGCACGAUUCUGCUUUAUGAACUGGACAAAAUCCAUUUAAAAUAUCAAGUUUCUCGUAUUUUACCACAGGAACCAGAAUGUGGUGUUUUGGGCUGGCAGCCCCAAUGCCCCAGGAUGACACUGCUCACGUGUGCAAAGUGACGCCUGGGCCCCAGCAGACCUGCAAGGUCUCACUGUCAGUGUGGGAAAGCUUUGGAUGGGGCCAGUAGAAACUAAAAAGAUUUAUUCUGGGAUUAUUUUAUUGUGCUUGGAACAAGAAUUUACUGUCUGGUGUGACUGAGCUUUAGAUGCUGCUGUAAAUUCCAGAUGAAAAUUGCACAGCAUUUGCCAUUCUGUUUUGCCCUAUUUUGUUUUGUGUUUCCUUUUCAUUCCUAGAUUCUGCUUUAUUCUGAAUUCUAAUGAAUUUAGAUCAUUGGAUCAAUGUCUUAUUAAAAAAA